UACGGAGGGUGCGAGCGUUGUCCGGAUUUAUUGGGUUUAAAGGGUGCGUAGGUGGCUUUUUAAGUCUGUUCUGAAAGUUGGUCGCUUAACGAUCAAGGGUGGAUGGAUACUGGGGAGCUUGGAUCAGGUGGCGGUUUCUGGAACGGGUCGUGUAGCGGUGAAAUGCAUAGAUAUGACCCAGAACUCCGAUUGCGAAGGCAGGAGGCUACGCCUGGAUUGACACUGAGGCACGAGAGCAUGGGGAGCAAACAGG
This 253-nucleotide ribosomal RNA is filed under the name uncultured bacterium. Its description in RNAcentral is "partial 16S ribosomal RNA". It matches the Rfam family "Bacterial small subunit ribosomal RNA", at positions 524 to 776 of the family's 1533-position model. The record is from RNAcentral.